GAAUGAUUAUUUGGGUUUGAGCUCACAUCCUACAAUAUCAAAC
Molecule: small RNA, 43 nt
Filed under: Arabidopsis thaliana (thale cress)
Lineage: Eukaryota; Viridiplantae; Streptophyta; Magnoliopsida; Brassicales; Brassicaceae
Description: ATSL242230
Source: RNAcentral